Molecule: ribosomal RNA, 480 nt
Filed under: Irantha armipes
Lineage: Eukaryota; Metazoa; Arthropoda; Insecta; Hemiptera; Reduviidae
Description: partial 28S ribosomal RNA
Source: RNAcentral
ACCACUAGAUCGCUGCUGACAGUGUUGUAGCACUGUGCAAGUCUAAAAAUUUACCAACAGUAUGAGACAUCAUAAGACGGACGAUAAAGUCCGAACAGCACAAUAAAUCUACACACUUGUAAAAGACAAACCACUUAUUAAUUAAGUGGCUCACACCAUAUUUGUUACUGUUAAAUUUAUAUACUCGGUAUUAAUUAAUUAAAACUGUUUUAAAAAAAGCAUACUUUUUACAGUAAAACUUAAAAAACAUGCAUUUUAAUUAUACUUAGAGUAUCAUUUAACACGUCGCAACGUCCUACUAACGGAAAAGUGCGGUCCACCAUUACUCUAGCUAAAAAUUAACUGCUAGCGACCAAACCCCCUAUCAUAGUAAAAUACCAGAUAGGGCGAAAGACCAUCUCAAUACAUUUCAAAUCUGAGCACAUGGUAAGACGUGAAUCUGCUCUUUCGACCUGUAGGUCUUUUCCGUUUACCCCUGAG